This 423-nucleotide ribosomal RNA is filed under the name uncultured bacterium. RNAcentral's name for it is "bacterial SSU rRNA". It matches the Rfam family "Bacterial small subunit ribosomal RNA", at positions 207 to 622 of the family's 1533-position model. The record is from RNAcentral.
AAGACCUUGCGCUUUUGGAGCGGCCGAUGUCUGAUUAGCUUGUUGGUGAGGUAAAGGCUUACCAAGGCUUCGAUCAGUAGCUGGUCUGAGAGGACGGCCAGCCACACUGGGACUGAGACACGGCCCAGACUCCUACGGGAGGCAGCAGUGGGGAAUUUUGGACAAUGGGGGCAACCCCGAUCCAGCCAUGCCGCGUGAGUGAAGAAGGCCUUCGGGUUGUAAAGCUCUUUCAGCCGGAACGAAACGGUUACGGUUAAUACCCGUGACUACUGACGGUACCGGAAGAAGAAGCACCGGCUAACUACGUGCCAGCAGCCGCGGUAAUACGUAGGGUGCAAGCGUUAAUCGGAAUUACUGGGCGUAAAGCGUGCGCAGGUGGUUUUGUAAGUCAGAUGUGAAAUCCCCGGGCUUAACCUGGGAACU